GAGAUGCUAGUAAAACAGAUAAUACAUUGCCUUGUCAAGGCAAAAAUGCAAGUUAAACCCCUGCGCAUCUUA
This 72-nucleotide transfer RNA is filed under the name Mastacembelus favus (tire track eel). RNAcentral describes it as "tRNA-Asp". It matches the Rfam family "tRNA". Rfam says of the family: Transfer RNA (tRNA) molecules are approximately 80 nucleotides in length. The record is from RNAcentral. Lineage: Eukaryota; Metazoa; Chordata; Actinopteri; Synbranchiformes; Mastacembelidae.